This 465-nucleotide ribosomal RNA is filed under the name uncultured Klebsiella sp. Its description in RNAcentral is "bacterial SSU rRNA". It matches the Rfam family "Bacterial small subunit ribosomal RNA", at positions 338 to 795 of the family's 1533-position model. Lineage: Bacteria; Pseudomonadati; Pseudomonadota; Gammaproteobacteria; Enterobacterales; Enterobacteriaceae. The record is from RNAcentral.
CCUACGGGGGGCAGCAGUGGGGAAUAUUGCACAAUGGGCGCAAGCCUGAUGCAGCCAUGCCGCGUGUGUGAAGAAGGCCUUCGGGUUGUAAAGCACUUUCAGCGGGGAGGAAGGCGGUGAGGUUAAUAACCUCAUCGAUUGACGUUACCCGCAGAAGAAGCACCGGCUAACUCCGUGCCAGCAGCCGCGGUAAUACGGAGGGUGCAAGCGUUAAUCGGAAUUACUGGACGUAAAGCGCACGCAGGCGGUCUGUCAAGUCGGAUGUGAAAUCCCCGGGCUCAACCUGGGAACUGCAUUCGAAACUGGCAGGCUAGAGUCUUGUAGAGGGGGGUAGAAUUCCAGGUGUAGCGGUGAAAUGCGUAGAGAUCUGGAGGAAUACCGGUGGCGAAGGCGGCCCCCUGGACAAAGACUGACGCUCAGGUGCGAAAGCGUGGGGAGCAAACAGGAUUAGAUACCCGAGUAGUC